CCAUUUCAAUGGAUAUUGGUAGGAGUUCAUCCAAGAUUGUCAUGGAGUUGGGAAUGUUCACCACCUUCUCAUACCUAGUGAUCUUGGUAAUGAAAUUGCGAGGGUUUGAUAGAUCAGAUGAGAUGGGCAUCCUUACUCGCAGUGUACAGACAUUCUCGUAGUUCUUAAGUAAAUCCUCCACCUGCCAAAAUAACAGUAAAAGGGAAGUUCCAUCAGGACCACCCAAAGAUCACAAGUUCAUAAUUACACAUAUCCAAAGACCAAAAAACAAACAGAAGCAUCACAUUGAUCCAAUUUACUAAAAGCAUCCAUUUUAAAUUUUGUAAAUCAAGACAUUUACAAACAGAAUUUCUUUCCAUUUUCAUAAGAUUAGUAGAAAAGAUCCAGAUUACAACAAAUUAUCCACGAAAUACAUCAACCAUGUACUUAAAUUUACUAACUUCAGGUGAUUCAUUCCAUGGUAACCUCAAUCUAGUCAUCUAAAUUUUUGAGAUCGCAACAAGUGACUCAUCUUAACGCAUGCCAUCUAUGUUCUAUUCACUAUCAAGGUCGAAACUUUCGAUAAUCCAAUAAAUUUCUUUAAUUGUAGCUGAAUGUUAGCAAACUGAGCCUAAACUGAUUUCAAAUUUCCACAUUAAUGCAUCAUUAGUUCAAUAAACAAAUCUAACAGUUGAACUGCAACUUUCCACACAUCAAGAUCAAUAAAUAAAUGAAAAUCCAAAUUCAAGAUCUAGAAUUAUAACAUACAGAUCUGAAACAUGUUUACCAUAAAUACAUAAAACACAAUAACGAUAAAUCCGAACAUUACCCACCAUUGCUUUCGUCUUGGAGUAAAAGGAUCCGAUGAAAUUCGGAGUGUCCUCCUCCUUGAACCCGAUACCCGACCCGAGCGGAUGCGAAUCAUCAUACUCAAAAAUACAUCCAGUGGCAUAGUUUAUCAAAACUAAUCCCUUCUCCCUGCAUACAUCAGCAAGCGUCAACGUGCCGACAACAUUUGUCCUAAUGGUCUCCACCUUGUGGGAUUCACACCAGUCGACAUUAGGCCGGCCAGUAACACCGGCGGCGUUGAAUACAUGGGUCGGUUGCACCGAGGCGAUGUCGGACUCAAGGGAGGGCCGGUUCUCCAACCGACCCGACCCGUAAACGUAUUCGAUCUUCUGAGCUUCACAAAGCUUACC
This 1178-nucleotide long non-coding RNA is filed under the name Olea europaea (common olive). Its description in RNAcentral is "long non-coding RNA (OEUR_LNC009672)". Lineage: Eukaryota; Viridiplantae; Streptophyta; Magnoliopsida; Lamiales; Oleaceae. The record is from RNAcentral.